UAGGGAAUUUCGGCAAUGGGGGGAACCCUGACCGAGCAACGCCGCGUGAGUGAAGAAGGUUUUCGGAUCGUAAAGCUCUGUUGUUAAGGAAGAACGAGUGUGAGAAUGGAAAGUUCAUACUGUGACGGUACUUAACCAGAAAGGGACGGCUAACUACGUGCCAGCAGCCGCGGUAAUACGUAGGUCCCGAGCGUUGUCCGGAUUUAUUGGGCGUAAAGCGAGCGCAGGCGGUUAGAUAAGUCUGAAGUUAAAGGCAGUGGCUCAACCAUUGUAGGCUUUGGAAACUGUUUAACUUGAGUGCAGAAGGGGAGAGUGGAAUUCCAUGUGUAGCGGUGAAAUGCGUAGAUAUAUGGAGGAACACCGGUGGCGAAAGCGGCUCUCUGGUCUGUAACUGACGCUGAGGCUCGAAAGCGUGGGGAGCGAACAGGAUUAGAUACCCUGGUAGUCCACGCCGUAAACGAUGAGUGCUAGGUGUUAGGUCCUUUCCGGGACUUAGUGCCGCAGCUAACGCAUUAAGCACUCCGCCUGGGGAGUACGACCGCAAGGUUG
This 549-nucleotide ribosomal RNA is filed under the name uncultured bacterium. RNAcentral describes it as "bacterial SSU rRNA". It matches the Rfam family "Bacterial small subunit ribosomal RNA", at positions 356 to 896 of the family's 1533-position model. The record is from RNAcentral.